CCCUUAGAUGUUCUGGGCCGCACGCGCGCUACACUGAUGAAUGCAACGAGCUCUACCCUUGACCGAAAGGCCCGGGUAAACUUGUGAAACUUCAUCGUGAUGGGGAUAGAUUAUUGCAAUUAUUAAUCUUCAACGAGGAAUUCCUAGUAAGCGCGAGUCAUCAGCUCGCGUUGAUUACGUCCCUGCCCUUUGUACACACCGCCCGUCGCUCCUACCGAUUGAAUGGUCCGGUGAAAUCUUCGGAUUGCUGACCAAGAUCCAGCAAUGGAGCUUGGUUGCGAGAAGUUGGUUAAACCUUAUUAUUUAGAGGAAGGAGAAGUCGUAACA
Molecule: ribosomal RNA, 327 nt
Filed under: uncultured eukaryote
Lineage: Eukaryota
Description: partial 18S ribosomal RNA
Rfam family: Eukaryotic small subunit ribosomal RNA
Source: RNAcentral